Molecule: ribosomal RNA, 483 nt
Filed under: uncultured bacterium
Lineage: Bacteria
Description: partial 16S ribosomal RNA
Rfam family: Bacterial small subunit ribosomal RNA
Source: RNAcentral
UUGCACGCUGGCGGCAUGCUUUACACAUGCCCGUCGCACGGCAGCGCGGGCUUCGGCCUGGCGGCGAGUGGCGAACGGGUGAGUAAUACAUCGGAACGUGCCCAGUAGUGGGGGAUAGCUCGGCGAAAGCCGGAUUAAUACCGCAUACGACCUGAGGGUGAAAGCGGGGGAUCUUCGGACCUCGCGCUAUUGGAGCGGCCGAUGGCAGAUUAGCUAGUUGGUGGGGUAAAGGCCUACCAAGGCGACGAUCUGUAGCUGGUCUGAGAGGACGACCAGCCACACUGGGACUGAGACACGGCCCAGACUCCUACGGGAGGCAGCAGUGGGGAAUUUUGGACAAUGGGCGAAAGCCUGAUCCAGCAAUGCCGCGUGUGUGAUGAAGGCCUUCGGGUUGUAAAGCACUUUUGGCGGGAACGAAAAGGACUGUGCCAAUACCACGGUUCGAUGACGGUACCCGCAGAAUAAGCACCGGCUAACUACGUG